RNAcentral lists this ribosomal RNA (493 nucleotides) under uncultured bacterium. RNAcentral describes it as "partial 16S ribosomal RNA". It matches the Rfam family "Bacterial small subunit ribosomal RNA", at positions 29 to 507 of the family's 1533-position model. The record is from RNAcentral.
AGUGAACGCUGGCGGUAGGCCUAACACAUGCAAGUCGAACGGCAGCACAGUAAGAGCUUGCUCUUACGGGUGGCGAGUGGCGGACGGGUGAGGAAUACAUCGGAAUCUACUUUUUCGUGGGGGGAUAACGUAGGGAAACUUACGCUAAUACCGCAUACGACCUACGGGUGAAAGCAGGGGAUCUUCGGACCUUGCGCGAUUGAAUGAGCCGAUGUCGGAUUAGCUAGUUGGCGGGGUAAAGGCCCACCAAGGCGACGAUCCGUAGCUGGUCUGAGAGGAUGAUCAGCCACACUGGAACUGAGACACGGUCCAGACUCCUACGGGAGGCAGCAGUGGGGAAUAUUGGGCAAUGGGCGCAAGCCUGAUCCAGCCAUACCGCGUGGGUGAAGAAGGCCUUCGGGUUGUAAAGCCCUUUUGUUGGGAAAGAAAAGCAGCAGGUUAAUACCCCGCUGUUCUGACGGUACCCAAAGAAUAAGCACCGGCUAACUUCGUG